This 67-nucleotide transfer RNA is filed under the name Arma chinensis. RNAcentral's name for it is "tRNA-Trp". Lineage: Eukaryota; Metazoa; Arthropoda; Insecta; Hemiptera; Pentatomidae. The record is from RNAcentral.
AAAGCUUUAAGUUAAAUAAACUAUUAACCUUCAAAGUUAAAAAUAUAUAAAUUUUAUGUAAGCUUUA